Molecule: non-coding RNA, 54 nt
Organism: Salmo salar (Atlantic salmon)
Lineage: Eukaryota; Metazoa; Chordata; Actinopteri; Salmoniformes; Salmonidae
Source: Rfam
AGAUGGUAUUUUUGUAAGUCGCUCUGGAUAAGAGCGUCUGCUAAAUGACAUAAA